CCUACGGGUGGCAGCAGUGGGGAAUAUUGGGCAAUGGGCGCAAGCCUGACCCAGCAACGCCGCGUGAAGGAAGAAGGCUUUCGGGUUGUAAACUUCUUUUCUCAGGGACGAAGAAAGUGACGGUACCUGAGGAAUAAGCCACGGCUAACUACGUGCCAGCAGCCGCGGUAAUACGUAGGUGGCAAGCGUUAUCCGGAUUUAAUGGGUGUAAAGGGCGUGUAGGCGGGAAAGCAAGUCAGAUGUGAAAACCAUGGGCUCAACCUGUGGCCUGCAUUUGAAACUGUUUUUCUUGAGUACUGGGGAGGCAGACGGAAUUCCUAGUGUAGCGGUGAAAUGCGUAGAUAUUAGGAGGAACACCAGUGGCGAAGGCGGUCUGCUGGACAGCAACUGACGCUGAGGCGCGAAAGCGUGGGGAGCAAACAGGAUUAGAUACCCUUGUAGUC
This 443-nucleotide ribosomal RNA is filed under the name uncultured bacterium. RNAcentral's name for it is "partial 16S ribosomal RNA". It matches the Rfam family "Bacterial small subunit ribosomal RNA", at positions 338 to 795 of the family's 1533-position model. The record is from RNAcentral.